UACGGGAGGUGCAAGCGUUGUUCGGAGUGACUGGGCGUAAAGCGCACGUAGGUGGGCUUGUAAGUCGAAUGUGAAAUCCCCGGGCUUAACCUGGGAACUGCAUCCGAAACUACAAGUCUUGAACGCUUCAGAGGUUGGUAGAAUUCCAGGUGUAGGAGUGAAAUCCGUAGAUAUCUGGAGGAAUACCGGAGGCGAAGGCGGCCAACUGGGAAUGCAUUGACACUGAGGUGCGAAAGCGUGGGGAGCAAACAGG
Molecule: ribosomal RNA, 253 nt
Filed under: uncultured bacterium
Lineage: Bacteria
Description: partial 16S ribosomal RNA
Rfam family: Bacterial small subunit ribosomal RNA
Source: RNAcentral